GGCAAAUAAGCUCAGGUUGGAGGGCAAAGUAGCUAUAAUUACCGGUGCUGCUAGUGGCAUUGGAGAAGCAAGUGCUAGAUUGUUCGUUGAACAUGGUGCUCGUGUCGUCGUCGCCGAUAUUCAAGAUGAACUUGGUCAAAAAGUAGUUGAUUCUAUCGGAUCUGACAAAGCCAGCUACCGGCACUGCGACGUUACAGACGAGAAGCAAGUUGAGGAAACCGUAGCUUACGCGGUAGAGAAAUACGGUACUCUUGACAUUAUGUUUAGUAAUGUCGGGACGCUGAAUUUCUGCAGCGUCCUCGACAUGGACGUGCUGGCCUUCGAUGAGACCAUGGCCAUCAACGUACGCGGAUCCGCGUUAGCGGUUAAGCACGCGGCUAAAGUUAUGGUUGAUAAGAAAAUUCGGGGAUCUAUUAUAUGUAACGCGAG
This 429-nucleotide unclassified non-coding RNA is filed under the name Hevea brasiliensis (rubber tree). The record is from RNAcentral. Lineage: Eukaryota; Viridiplantae; Streptophyta; Magnoliopsida; Malpighiales; Euphorbiaceae.